AGAGUUUGAUCCUGGCUCAGGAUGAACGCUGGCGGCGUGCCUAACACAUGCAAGUCGAACGGACUCGGAUUGAAACCUAGUGAUUUCCGAGUUAGUGGCGGACGGGUGAGUAACGCGUGGAUAACCUGCCGUAUGCAGGGGGAUAACAGUUGGAAACAGCUGCUAAUACCGCAUAAGCGCACAAUACCGCAUGGUACUGUGUGAAAAGAUUUAUCGGCAUACGAUGGAUCCGCGUCCGAUUAGCCAGUUGGCGGGGUAACGGCCCACCAAAGCGACGAUCGGUAGCCGGCCUGAGAGGGUGGACGGCCACAUUGGGACUGAGACACGGCCCAAACUCCUACGGGAGGCAGCAGUGGGGAAUAUUGCACAAUGGGGGAAACCCUGAUGCAGCGACGCCGCGUGAGUGAAGAAGUAUCUCGGUAUGUAAAGCUCUAUCAGCAGGGAAGAAAAUGACGGUACCUGACUAAGAAGCCCCGGCUAACUACGUG
Molecule: ribosomal RNA, 488 nt
Filed under: uncultured Lachnospiraceae bacterium
Lineage: Bacteria; Bacillati; Bacillota; Clostridia; Lachnospirales; Lachnospiraceae
Description: bacterial SSU rRNA
Rfam family: Bacterial small subunit ribosomal RNA
Source: RNAcentral